RNAcentral lists this ribosomal RNA (460 nucleotides) under uncultured bacterium. RNAcentral's name for it is "partial 16S ribosomal RNA". It matches the Rfam family "Bacterial small subunit ribosomal RNA", at positions 338 to 795 of the family's 1533-position model. The record is from RNAcentral.
CCUACGGGUGGCAGCAGUGAGGAAUAUUGGUCAAUGGGCUUACGCCUGAACCAGCCAAGUCGCGUGAGGGAAGACUGCCCUAUGGGUUGUAAACCUCUUUUGUCAGGGAGCAACGCCGGCUACGUGUAGCCUGACUGAGAGUACCUGAAGAAAAAGCAUCGGCUAACUCCGUGCCAGCAGCCGCGGUAAUACGGAGGAUGCGAGCGUUAUCCGGAUUGAUUGGGUUUAAAGGGUGCGUAGGCGGAAUGCCAAGUCAGCGGUAACAUCGCGGGGCUCAACCUCGCUCCGCCGUUGAAACUGGCGUUCUUGAGUGGGCGAGAAGUAUGCGGAAUGCGUGGUGUAGCGGUGAAAUGCAUAGAUAUCACGCAGAACUCCGAUUGCGAAGGCAGCAUACCGGCGCCCAACUGACGCUGAAGCACGAAAGCGUGGGUAUCGAACAGGAUUAGAUACCCGAGUAGUC